UCAAAGAAUAGUUUAUAUAUAAAAUAUUAAUUUUGGAGAUUAAUGAAAAAAAAAGAUUUUUUCUUUGAA
RNAcentral lists this transfer RNA (69 nucleotides) under Pulex irritans. RNAcentral's name for it is "tRNA-Pro". Lineage: Eukaryota; Metazoa; Arthropoda; Insecta; Siphonaptera; Pulicidae. The record is from RNAcentral.